GGAUUGUGGCUCAGCGGUAGAGCACUCACCUAGCGCGGGUGGGACCCGGGUUUGAUCCUCAGCACCA
Molecule: transfer RNA, 67 nt
Filed under: Marmota monax (woodchuck)
Lineage: Eukaryota; Metazoa; Chordata; Mammalia; Rodentia; Sciuridae
Description: tRNA.Ala
Source: RNAcentral